RNAcentral lists this ribosomal RNA (460 nucleotides) under uncultured bacterium. Its description in RNAcentral is "partial 16S ribosomal RNA". It matches the Rfam family "Bacterial small subunit ribosomal RNA", at positions 338 to 795 of the family's 1533-position model. The record is from RNAcentral.
CCUACGGGUGGCAGCAGUGAGGAAUAUUGGUCAAUGGGCUUACGCCUGAACCAGCCAAGUCGCGUGAGGGAAGACUGCCCUAUGGGUUGUAAACCUCUUUUGUCAGGGAGCAAUUGGCGCUACGUGUAGCGUUAUCGAGAGUACCUGAAGAAAAAGCAUCGGCUAACUCCGUGCCAGCAGCCGCGGUAAUACGGAGGAUGCGAGCGUUAUCCGGAUUUAUUGGGUUUAAAGGGUGCGUAGGCGGAAUGCCAAGUCAGUGGUAAAAUCGUGGGGCUCAACCCCAUCCAGCCGUUGAAACUGGGGAUCUAGAGUGUGCGAGAGGUAUGCGGAAUGCGUGGUGUAGCGGUGAAAUGCAUAGAUAUCACGCAGAACCCCGAUUGCGAAGGCAGCAUACCGGUGCACAACUGACGCUCAGGCACGAAAGCGUGGGUAUCGAACAGGAUUAGAUACCCUUGUAGUC